Molecule: ribosomal RNA, 112 nt
Filed under: Rhododendron griersonianum
Lineage: Eukaryota; Viridiplantae; Streptophyta; Magnoliopsida; Ericales; Ericaceae
Source: RNAcentral
UGCGAUCAUACCAGCACUAAUGCACCGGAUCCCAUCAGAACUCCGCAAUUAAGCGUGCUUGGGCGAGAGUAGUACUAGGAUGGGUGACCCCCUGGGAAGUCCUCGUGUUGCA